Molecule: transfer RNA, 69 nt
Filed under: Ictidomys tridecemlineatus (thirteen-lined ground squirrel)
Lineage: Eukaryota; Metazoa; Chordata; Mammalia; Rodentia; Sciuridae
Description: Spermophilus tridecemlineatus (thirteen-lined ground squirrel) tRNA
Rfam family: tRNA
About the family: Transfer RNA (tRNA) molecules are approximately 80 nucleotides in length. Their secondary structure includes four short double-helical elements and three loops (D, anti-codon, and T loops). Further hydrogen bonds mediate the characteristic L-shaped molecular structure. tRNAs have two regions of fundamental functional importance: the anti-codon, which is responsible for specific mRNA codon recognition, and the 3' end, to which the tRNAs corresponding amino acid is attached (by aminoacyl-tRNA synthetases). tRNAs cope with the degeneracy of the genetic code in two manners: having more than one tRNA (with a specific anti-codon) for a particular amino acid; and 'wobble' base-pairing, i.e. permitting non-standard base-pairing at the 3rd anti-codon position.
Source: Rfam by way of RNAcentral
GGGGUUGUGGCUCAGUGGUAGGGUGCUCGCCUAGCAUGCAUGAGGUACUGGGUUCUAAUCCCAGCACCA